Molecule: ribosomal RNA, 259 nt
Filed under: uncultured bacterium
Lineage: Bacteria
Description: partial 16S ribosomal RNA
Rfam family: Bacterial small subunit ribosomal RNA
Source: RNAcentral
GUCCACGCUGUAAACGAUGAUCACUCGUUGUUAGCGAUAUACUGUUAGCGACUGAGGGAAACCAUUAAGUGAUCCACCUGGGGAGUACGGCGGCAACGUUGAAACUCAAAGGAAUUGACGGGGGCCCGCACAAGCGGAGGAGCAUGUGGUUUAAUUCGAUGAUACGCGAGGAACCUUACCUGGGCUUAAAUGUAGGACGACGUAUGCCGAAAGGCGUAUUUCCUUCGGGACGUCUUACAAGGUGCUGCAUGGUUGUCGU